UACCGGCGGCUCGAGUGGUGGCCACUAUUACUGGGCUUAAAGCGUUCGUAGCUGGCCUGUUAAGUCUCUGGGGAAAUCUUCCGGCUUAACCGGAAGGCGAUUCAGGGAUACUGGCAGGCUAGGGACCGGUAGAGGUGAGGGGUACUCCAGGGGUAGGAGUGAAAUCCUGUAAUCCUUGGGGGACCACCUGUGGCGAAGGCGCCUCACCAGAACGGCUCCGACAGUGAGGAACGAAAGCUGGGGGA
This 245-nucleotide ribosomal RNA is filed under the name uncultured archaeon. RNAcentral's name for it is "partial 16S ribosomal RNA". It matches the Rfam family "Archaeal small subunit ribosomal RNA", at positions 474 to 718 of the family's 1478-position model. The record is from RNAcentral.